GGAAUCUUAGUUUAUAAAAAUAGAUACUUUGAAAGUAUCAGUAAGAAGGCUUCUUCUAGACUCCU
Molecule: transfer RNA, 65 nt
Filed under: Engaeus lengana
Lineage: Eukaryota; Metazoa; Arthropoda; Malacostraca; Decapoda; Parastacidae
Description: tRNA-Ser
Source: RNAcentral